Molecule: long non-coding RNA, 361 nt
Organism: Vidua chalybeata
Lineage: Eukaryota; Metazoa; Chordata; Aves; Passeriformes; Viduidae
Exons: 2
Source: RefSeq, a predicted model, not a curated record
CUCUGAUCGUUUUUACUGUCAUAACUCAGCCACUAAAGGCAAGCUUGCCUGACAGGUAAUGUCAGCAGUAGUCAUGGCAGCAGUGCACUUCCAUUUCAGGAAGGGAGCCCAAGUCACAGUUCAAGGUACCAAGCAGAACAGUAAGGGCAUGCUUGAACUCCUAAUACUUAAGACUUGCCUGCUAUACAAGGGAAAAGAAGCCACAUGUGUUUGGCUCCACUGUCAGGCAUUGUUCUUCAAGAAAUUUGUGGACCAGCUGAGCAGAAUCCUUAGGAGAUGAAGAAGUCAGGAAAACAUGAUCUAUAAAGAAAGUUUGAAGGGUCAUUUAAAUUAAAGCAUGCCAAAGAGCCCUGCAACAUUA